Molecule: ribosomal RNA, 434 nt
Filed under: uncultured archaeon
Lineage: Archaea
Description: bacterial SSU rRNA
Rfam family: Archaeal small subunit ribosomal RNA
Source: RNAcentral
AACCUCCGCAAUGCGAGCAAUCGCGACGGGGGGACCCCAAGUGCUACUUUAACGGGGUAGCUUUUCUAAAGUGCUUCAGGAUAAGAGCUGGCAAGACCGGUGCCAGCCGCCGCGGUAAUACCGGCGGCUCGAGUGGUGGCCGAUAUUAUUGAGUCUGAAGGGUCCGUAGCCGGCUUUGCAAGUCUCUCGGGAAAUCCAGCGGCUUAACCGUUGGUCUCCGGGGGGUACUACAUUGCUUGGGGCUGGGAGAGGUAGGAGGUACUCAGGGGUUAGGAGUGAAAUCCUGUAAUCCUUUGGGGACCACCGGUGGCGAAGGCGCCUAACUGGAACGACCUGACGGUGAGUAACGAAAGCCGGGGGCGCGAACCGGAUUAGAUACCCGGGUAGUCCUGGCCGUAAACGAUGUGGACUUGGUGUUGGACAGUGCCGAAGGG